Molecule: long non-coding RNA, 335 nt
Filed under: Elaeis guineensis (African oil palm)
Lineage: Eukaryota; Viridiplantae; Streptophyta; Magnoliopsida; Arecales; Arecaceae
Description: long non-coding RNA (EGUI_LNC028170)
Source: RNAcentral
UUUUCCUUUACCCCUCCUUUUUUUUAUGUUCGGAUGAGGAUUUUCCCUCUGCUCCUAACGGAGUUGUAGGGGUGUAGAGGAGCCGUUGAGGAGGCUUUUUCCCUCAUCCGGUCUUAAACGAUUAGGUCUUCGUUUGUGUCAGGACGAGAUUCUCCUCCUGUUCCCGACACAGUCAAUUUCAACUCAUGUUAGGACGAGGUUUUUCUCUUGUUCCUAACAGGGCUGCGGGGGCGCAUAAGGGCCAUUGCGAGGGCCUCUCCCCCCAUCCAGUCUCAUAAUAAUCGGGCCUUCGACUUUGCUCAUGUUAGGACGAGAUUCUCCUCCUGUUCCUAACA